CUACGUGCCAGCAGCCGCGGUAAUACGUAGGUCCCGAGCGUUGUCCGGAUUUAUUGGGCGUAAAGCGAGCGCAGGCGGUUAGAUAAGUCUGAAGUUAAAGGCUGUGGCUUAACCAUAGUACGCUUUGGAAACUGUUUAACUUGAGUGCAAGAGGGGAGACUGGAAUUCCUGGUGUAGCGGUGGAAUGCGCAGAUAUCAGGAGGAACACCGAUGGCGAAGGCAGGUCUCUGGGCUGUAACUGACGCUGAGAAGCGAAAGCAUGGGGAGCGAACAGGAUUAGAUACCCUGGUAGUCCAUGCCGUAAACGUUGGGCACUAGGUGUGGGGGACAUUCCACGUUUUCCGCGCCGUAGCUAACGCAUUAAGUGCCCCGCCUGGGGAGUACGGCCGCAAGGCUAAAACUCAAAGAAAUUGACGGGGGCCCGCACAAGCGGCGGAGCAUGCGGAUUAAUUCGAUGCAACGCGAAGAACCUUACCAAGGCUUGACAU
Molecule: ribosomal RNA, 488 nt
Filed under: uncultured bacterium
Lineage: Bacteria
Description: bacterial SSU rRNA
Rfam family: Bacterial small subunit ribosomal RNA
Source: RNAcentral